CCUGGCUAAAACCUAGCUUCAAUGAGAAUUAAUGGCAUAUGGCUGAAGCUUAAGGGGGCAAAAAGGAAUAAUGUUACUUUUAAAAAUGCACAUUCAAGAAAAAGACCUUAGCAGUUCAUUUUUACAAAAGAGAAAAUAUAAAGAGGCCAUGAUAUUUUUCUACUCAGGAAAAUAGCUGAUUGUAUAUCCUGAAAAUAAUAUCAUGCAAACCUCUCCUCAAAAUAUUUUAUGUUUAGUUUGCAAAGCUCCAAUUUUUAAAAUAAAUUCAUAUUUUAGCUAAUAAGAAUUGAUUUGAAAAAUAAAAUGAGGACAAGUCUGGCCAAUACAUAUAUUAUAGUUUGAAUGAACAUUGUAAUUUAAGCCAAAAUAUAUUAUAAAAAGGAAAAUAAGAGCAAAGUCCAUAGAAAUCUUAAGCAACAGAAACCCCGUAUUUGAAUUUCUACUCCACAUACGCAUAUAUAGUUAACUGAAAUGAGAAAAGAGAGAAUGUGUCUAAAUGAUUUGUCUUGAGGACAAGAUGUAUGCCAGUCUUCUCAUAUUGUACUUGAUCCUUGUGCAUAGGAGGGUAAAUGAGGUUGAUAUUUUGCAAUCACUUUGUAGUUGUGAAUAAGAUCAAUAUGAGGUCAAUUCUUGAGCAUUUGUCUAGUUUGCUUUAUGAUCCAGUGUGUUGUCAAUAUUCCAAAUGUUCUCUCUGU
Molecule: long non-coding RNA, 695 nt
Filed under: Marmota monax (woodchuck)
Lineage: Eukaryota; Metazoa; Chordata; Mammalia; Rodentia; Sciuridae
Source: RNAcentral